UAGGAAGCCUUCGGGUGGAAUAGAUGUAGACUUAGUGGCGGACGGGUGAGUAACGCGUGAGCAACCUGCCCAUAAGAGGGGGACAACAGUUGGAAACGACUGCUAAUACCGCAUAAGACCACACUAUCGCAUGAUAGAGGGGUCAAAGAAAUAUCGCUUAUGGAUGGGCUCGCGUCCCAUUAGGUAGUUGGUGAGGUAACGGCCCACCAAGCCGACGAUGGGUAGCCGACCUGAGAGGGUGAUCGGCCACAUUGGAACUGAGACACGGUCCAAACUCC
Molecule: ribosomal RNA, 278 nt
Filed under: uncultured Bacillota bacterium
Lineage: Bacteria; Bacillati; Bacillota
Description: uncultured Firmicutes bacterium partial 16S ribosomal RNA
Rfam family: Bacterial small subunit ribosomal RNA
Source: RNAcentral